This 579-nucleotide ribosomal RNA is filed under the name uncultured bacterium. Its description in RNAcentral is "bacterial SSU rRNA". It matches the Rfam family "Bacterial small subunit ribosomal RNA", at positions 338 to 917 of the family's 1533-position model. The record is from RNAcentral.
CCUACGGGAGGCAGCAGUAAGGAAUAUUGGACAAUGGUCGCAAGACUGAUCCAGCCAUGCCGCGUGCAGGAUGACAGCCCUAUGGGUCGUAAACUGCUUUUGUGCGAGAAAAAACCCCUCUACGUGUAGAGGGCUGAUUGUAUCGUAAGAAUAAGGAUCGGCUAACUCCGUGCCAGCAGCCGCGGUAAUACGGAGGAUCCAAGCGUUAUCCGGAUUCAUUGGGUUUAAAGGGUGCGUAGGCGGAAUGAUAAGUCAGUGGUGAAAGCCUGCAGCUUAACUGCAGAACUGCCAUUGAUACUGUCAUUCUUGAGUACAUUUGAUGUGGGCGGAAUGUGUCAUGUAGCGGUGAAAUGCUUAGAUAUGACACAGAACACCGAUUGCGAAGGCAGCUCACAAAACUGUAACUGACGCUGAGGCACGAAAGCGUGGGUAUCAAACAGGAUUAGAUACCCUGGUAGUCCACGCUGUAAACUAUGAUUACUCGAUGUUUGCGAUACACUGUAAGCGUCCAAGCGAAAGCGUUAAGUAAUCCACCUGGGGAGUACGCUCGCAAGAGUGAAACUCAAAGGAAUUGACGGG